GCCAGCAGCUACAUCACCCUGCAGCUCACAACUGGCAGCCCACUGAAGCUCAGCAGGUGUGAGCCUGGCCAGUAGCUGGCUGGGAGACCUCCUGGAAAAACCAAGGUUACUGCUGGAA
RNAcentral lists this ribosomal RNA (118 nucleotides) under Lepisosteus oculatus (spotted gar). Lineage: Eukaryota; Metazoa; Chordata; Actinopteri; Semionotiformes; Lepisosteidae. The record is from RNAcentral.